Molecule: long non-coding RNA, 3332 nt
Filed under: Malus domestica (apple)
Lineage: Eukaryota; Viridiplantae; Streptophyta; Magnoliopsida; Rosales; Rosaceae
Description: long non-coding RNA (MDOM_LNC009573)
Source: RNAcentral
AGUGUUGAAGUGAUAAAACCACUUAAUGAGACGGAAACUAGGCAAGGACUUCACCUUUGUUUCCUUAUCCUAAUCGUUCACUAAGUUUAUUGUAAACUAUGUAGUGAAAAAUAACCACAUGCUCUCCAAAAUGUUUGAUGUGUAUAACACAAUUGAAAAAGGUUUCAAGAGAGAUAGUGGGAGUUUAGGGACCAUGACUAUUGUAGUCAAAAGGAGACGUCAGAUAAAGAAGAUAAAUAACUCCAAGGGAACAAACUUUCUUUAUGAAAGGAUGGAUAUUGGAAGGGGUAUUUGCAAGAAAUGUAUUGCAAGUGUCAAGGACACACCUUUCGAAAGGUGUUGUAAAUUGUUCUUGAAUAGUUCAAAACAGUUGGUUCUUCUACUUGAAUGCUUGAUUCUGUAUUAGUAACUAUGUUUUACAAAUCGUUGUAAAAGUGUGACUAAUAAGAAGUAGAAGAUAUAUGAGAGAAGAGAAAGUACUUCACAUUCGGAAACGUGAAUCAAAUAUAGAUCUCUGCGAAAGCAGAUGGUACUUACUUCCUCAUAUGAACUACCAAAGAAAUUGGAAAAACAUAGAUUGUCUUUAUAUUCCAAUUUUAAGGAACUAAAUUCCGUCACUAUGUGAAAUGGAUAAAUGUUUUGUUUGACAAAACAAUGUUCUUUAUUAAUCAAUGAUUGGAUUAUGGUAAUCUAAUUAAUUGUCUCUAUAGUAGAGAUAAUAUGGUAGUGUUAACUGUUUAGAAAAUAAUGAUGCUUAAAACCCAAAAGGUUGCAAGGUAGUGACUAAUCUCAACUAAAGUUGUGAUACCUCUAAAACAUAAAUUACGAGUUGGUCAUAAAUGGACGCUUUGGAUCGUUAGAUCCGGAUCCAAUACCUUCUUGUUAAAAUUGUAUAGAGGCGAAAUGUUCGAAUCUUUAUUCUUUUGGAAAGAAGAAAGAAUCACAAAGUUGUUGAGGUUAAUUCACUUAAAUGUUAGUGGCACUUGUCCGCAAACAUAAUAUUACUCAUGUUGAAUAACAUUCACCGAAGAUCACUCUCGGUUGGACUAUAGUUUAUUUUGAAUAAACACAAGUCCGAAUACUUUGCAAACUAUUUCAAAGAAUUCAAGUAAUGUAAGUUGAUGAGUAAGACAUCUAAAGUAUUUACCUCCUUAGAUUUGAUCCAAGAAAGGUAACACUUUAGAUAAGUUUCCUUGAAAGAUAUCAAGGAAAAUAGCAUCAUAAGAUAAUAUAUUUCUCCAUUAGGAGAAGAACGAACUCGAAUAAGAUUUAGUUCGUUAGAUGUUAUCUAUUAUCCAUAUAUAGGAUAUAUACUUCUAAAACAAUAUGAUUGUCAAUGAGAAGAUCUUCCAAUAUUUUCAUGACUCCAUAAGAUGUAGUUGGAAAGAAAGACAAAUCUUAAGCAUGUUAAGAUUUGGGGUUGUGUGCUAAUAAGCAAUAUUUGUUAGAUAACAAUCUUGUAGGAUAUCCUUAAAAUAACUUUUGGAUAUCGCUUCUAUAAACCAACUAACAAAUGUUGUUUUGUUGGGUAGUUCAUUGUAAUUCUACAAUGUGAUUUGCCUAAAAGCAAAUGAACGAGAGAUAGAACUCAAAGAAUGGGUUCUUUGAGAGACAAGAAAGUAAUCAACAAAUAUAACAACCUAGUUCCUAUACCACAAGCUCCAAGGUAGUCGAUAAGGAUUUAUAAACCGUCUCAGUUGAAUGGUUUUGAACUUUAUGACUACAUUGAGUGCAUAUACGAUAUAUACUCAAGAAAAUGGUAAAGUACCAUUUGACUCGAAAUAAUGAAACCUUAAUAGCUAAUUGGUAGCUUAAGGUGACUACAAUCAAAGAGAAUGGUUGACUUUAAAGGAACCAUUUUGACGUAGUCUUAGUUUCAAUUAAUUCGAAGAUUGCUAGCUACAACUAAAUGGUGAUUCAAUGUUUUGACAUAAUAUGGGUUUCCGAAACCAUUAUUGAGAUAGUCUUGAUAAUAUAUGUCUAAAACUAUAAAUCACAAGACAUGUAAGUUGUAGAGAUCCAUCCAUCAUGGAUCGUAGCAAGUUAGUGGGAGCUAUUUGCAUUUUAUGAGAAAAAUGAUCAAAUCGUUUGAUUUCUCAUAAAGAUGUAAAUGAAUCUUUUGUUUACUAGUUUUACAAAAGAUUAGUGGGAGUUAAUCAUGUUCCUAAAAUUUAAAUAUAUAUGAUAUAUUAAUUUUGGAAAUGAAAAGAAUACUUCUUCGUUAAAGUUAUGACUUUAAUACAUUAUAUGAAGAUAGAAUGUAUAUGGGAGAUAUAGUCUAUAUACAUGGGAUGGAAAUCUAUAAUGAUAUAUUUCAUGAUAUAAUUGGAUUAUAUCAAUCCCUAAUAAUAGACAAUUGAUGCUAGGAAGUUUCUCAUAUGAUGAUAAACUUCAAUAAGAAGGACGAUUCUAGUGAGACUAGCAAGUUGCCCUUCUCAAAGGGAAUGUACCCUUUGACUCCCAAAGAAAUAAUGCGUAAAUUGAAUCCUUUAUACAUAUGCAGAAAGGUUAUUUAUGUAUUUCAUAUUGUAUGAAAAACAUUGAUAUGAGUUGUACCUAGAACGGUACAAGACGAUAUCAGUGCAAGCCCAGGAUCAGAACCAUGGCAACUGUCAAGUGAGUCCUUAAGUAUUUAAGAAAUACUAAAGGAUAAAUUCCUCAAAGAUCGAGGAAGAAUCAAAGUAAUGUAAUGGAAGCGUAAAUGUAUUAGAUUAUGAAUCUAAUCCAUCAUUGGAUGUUUCUUCAUUAUGAAUGAAGCGAUAAACGAAUAUCUCUUUAUUAUGACUAAAGAGAUAUUUGGAUGGAAACAUUAAAGUAAUGACUUUAGUGUGUUCCAUUAUGAAUGCAAGAUAUAUUGCCAUAUAGAAGUUUACAACAAUGUUGUUUGGAUGGGAAAGUUCAUUUAUGAACUCUCUAUUCGAUUCCAACCAGAAAGUGUAUGACACUAAUGGGGCGAUAGCUCAAGCCUGGGAAUCAAGGUCUCAUCAAGAUCCGAACUCAAAUGAGAGACUGAACCACAUGAUUGAGAAUCAUGUAUAAUGGUGAAGUCGUUAUACUCAAGGUUGCUUCUAUGGAUAACACAUAUAGAUAUCCACUGUCUAGGCCUACUACUCAGCCAUUUAUGAAAUGACUACAGAAGAGGUAUCAUACUGAUGACCAAGCUGAUUGGCUCUAGUGCAAGUGGGAGAUUGUUGGAAAUGUGCCCUAAAGCCAAUCAUGUGAUGAUACUUUACGGACAUUUCACAUGUUAAACUAAUUUAGUUUUACAUAUAAAGGGCAAAGAUUAUUGUUUGAGCCGUCUCAUAUAAAUGUUAUAUGCUUAAACGAUAAAG